The sequence is a regulatory RNA element, 136 nucleotides long. It matches the Rfam family "Listeria sRNA rli62". The record is from Rfam.
UACAAAAUAAAAUAAUAUAUUAAGUCUGCACUUCACUUCUCAUAUAUAAUCACAUGAUGAUGAUAUAGCAGGAGGUUGCUAUGUUGCCGGACAGAGGCUUAUUAUCUGAUCGUUGGUCUUGAUGGGAGACGCAUCC